Long non-coding RNA from Passer domesticus (house sparrow), 10500 nucleotides. RefSeq lists it as uncharacterized. The transcript has 6 exons. Lineage: Eukaryota; Metazoa; Chordata; Aves; Passeriformes; Passeridae. The record is from RefSeq and is a predicted model, not a curated record.
UCUCCUCCCGGCUCUCCUCCGGGCUCUCCUCCAGGCUCUCCUCCCGGCGGAGCAGCCCAGCGGCCUCAGCCGCUCCUCGCACGGCCUCCCCUCAGGGCCCGUCACCGCACUCGUAGCUCUCUGACGGACCCUCCCUAAUAGAAACACGGAAGAAGACUCUCAAAAUAUUCUGGAAGGGAUCCGCCAAGGUCAUCAAGUCCAACUGUUGCUUGAACGGGAUUCCCAGGAAGUGAUUUUCCGCGGGAGGCGGCUCAGCUGCCAGUGGGGCAGGUGGGGCGAAGAGCAGAGCCUCAGCUCUGUGCUGCUGUGAGGGGCCUGGGGCUGUGCUCUGCCAUUCGGCUUCCACCGGAGGAGUCGGGAGGGACCGGCCUUCAUCAAUAAGCUCUGCUGGGCACCGUGGUCUGUAUAAACCAAGGCAUCUGCCUGUGACCUCUGGGCUUUUCCAUCAGAGCCUCUGGGGUGGUGUUUAAUGUCCCUGGCAUUAAUGUUUAAUUUUUUCUAAAUAUCAGGGUAUGUAAAAGCUUCUCUGUGGAUACAUUUUUGGAGGUAUAUCCAUAAACUGCUGUCAUGUAUAAAAACCCAAACAAUUAGUCAGUGAAUUCCUGACCUAAAGCAAUGCAGAAUUUUUUGAGUCUCAAAUCAAGUCAAUUGAAGCCUAAAAACUGGAUAAGAGCAUGAAUUAGGUUAUAAAUAGUUUCUUUCUAAGGAUCCUUUUGUUUAAUGUAUGGCCUAAAAUUAAUUUAUUUGCUGUGCAUGCAUUUCAUGACUAUCUCAGAUGAAUUUUUCUUCUGUUUGGAAAAAUUCCCUUCUAGACAGCCUCUUUAUGAAAGACUACAAAAAUGAUCUGUGCAUUUUCAUGUACCAAUCUCUCAAAUGUGACCAGACCAUUGCUGAAUUCUGUGUUAAAAUAGACUGCAUCAAGCCAAAGGGUAACACCUUUCCGUACGUUUUUCUCGUGGUAUCCCAAAACCAAACCGAGACUUGCAAUAAGUCUCUCUGCUCUGUCACAUCUUGAAGUGGGUUUUUUUCUCCCUCCCUGUGUUACAGAAACUUCUUUUUUCACAAGUAGCUUGCUGAUUCAGGUGCAGUGUUUGACUUGUGUGCUCCAGGAUUUCCGUUCAGAGCUGGGCAUGGAGGUGGGCUGUUUGAGGGUCAGUGAGCCUGAAAUCAGUGGAAAUCAAAUUUACAGCAACAUUCAUCUCUAACUUGCAGUCACCUCUUUGUGGUGUAGUUGUUUUCAUAAGAGGAAGCAGCAUGAUAGAAGAGAAAGAAAGAGAAAAAGAAAGAAAGAAAGAGAGAAAGAAAGAAAUCCCAUUUUACAAUGGCUUUUAAUCUAAUUAUGAUCUUGAAUUUGAAAGCUCCCACUGACUGAAUUGGGACUAAAGGAUUUGCUGCUUCUAUUUGCCUUCCACCAAAAGCUGCAGGUAAAAAGCUAGAGGGCAGCAGACAACAGCAUCUCUGUGGAGCAUGAAGAGGGUACUCAUUCACUCCAGAACCAAGAGAAAUCAUGUCAUUCCCCAAAAUUUCUUGAAGGGAAAAUGGCACCAACCCUACUACAGAAAUCAUCCCUGCCUAGGGACUAGGUGGGCUUCUUUUGGCAAUAUUACAGUGGAGAAGAGGAUGGUAGUAAUGAGGAAAAGUGGGUCUUAGUCUUGCUGUUCCUUUAUAUACAAGGUGGGUUUCAGCUUGGCGAAGAUUAUUUUUUUUUUCUUCAGCAACCCUGCCAUGGCUCUCAUAUCUUCCCCUCCAAGCUGUGUCUUCUUCCUCGACUUUUUGCCGUGACUUUGCAGCAUCUGGGUGCUUAGUUUUGCUAACUUUUGGUCCUUGCACUGCAUCACAUUUCCUCCCACACCUUUUUCUUGUAGUCACUAAAUAUCCCGAUUUUCUGGCUUUUGGGAUUUUUGUCAGGCGCCCUUCAUUUGAUCAUAUCUCCUUUCCAGAGCGUUUGUAAGCCUUUCUUUUCAGGGUCGCGAGAUUUCGUUUCCCUUCCCGAAAGGAAAUGAAAUUUCCUUUCGGGAAGGGAAACGAAAUCUCGCGGUUUCAAUGGGAAUCAAUGGGGCAAUCUUUGGACCAAGUCCCAGCACUUGACAGCAUCCCAUGCCUUUUGGUGGGUUUCAGCUUGGCGAAGAUUUUUUUUUUCUUUUUUCCAGUAUCCAUGCCAUGGCUCUCAUAUCUUCCCCUGCAAGUCGUGUCUUCCUCUGCGACUUUUUGCCGUGACUUUGCAGCAUCUGUGAGCUUAGUUUUGGCAUCUUUUGGUCCUUUGCACUGCACAUCAUAUAAUCCUAGCCCAUUUUCUAGUAGUCACUAAAUUUGAAAAUUUUUUUUUUUUUCUUCAGCAACCAUGCCAUGGCUCUCAUAUCUUCCCCUCCACGUUGUGUCUUCUUCCUCGACUUUUUGCCAUGACUUUUCAGCAUCUGGGUGCUUAGUUUUGCUAACUUUUGCUCCUUGCACUGCACCACAUUUCCUCCCACACCUUUUUCUUGUAGUCACUAAAUAUCCCGAUUUUCUGGCUUUUGGGAUUUUUGUCAGCCGCCCUUCAUUUGGUCAUAUCUCUUUUCCAGGGCAUUUGUAAGCCUUUCUUUUCAGGGUCGCGAGAUUUCGUUUCCCUUCCCGAAAGGAAAUUUCAUUUCCUUUCGGGAAGGGAAACGAAAUCUCGCGGUUUCAAUGGGAAUCAAUGGGACAAUUCAGGGCAAUUCAGUCUUUCCAGUUAACCAGCAUGUUGCCCUCUGAGCUUCAAUUUUUAUAAUUUACAGAUUGGCAAGAGUUUCUGGAUGGGCCUUUUCUCCUUGAAAGAGACCUGCUGAAAAAACCUACUGCUUCUCUCAACAGCUGCAGUUUGUUCCUGCAUCUGUGUCUUACAAACCAAAUUCAUUCAAGUGAUUGAUUUCUUAACACCCCUUUCCUCUCACCCCCUUUUUCUUUACUAAGCAGACCAGUUUGCUUGGCUGCGUUUGCUUGGAUGUGCCAUUUGAAGUGUCCCAGAAGGCUCUCAUUGCUGAUAUGUUGUGUUUUGAUCUGACAGAUGGGAGAAAACAAAAGCUCUCUCUGCCACAAUGUCCUUUGGAAGUUGUCAUACCCCUAGUGUUCUCAUACCUCUGGUAUGUUCCCGUUUGUGCAGGUACCUUCUGACACACAGCUAUGAAGCUGUGUGAUCAUCUUGGCUGAUGACUUUCAGGAUUUUAUCCUUUGCAAUAAUUUGAUAGCCAUUUGGUAUAGCAACAUUGCUCACUGUUUAAAUUUACUGAGAUGUUUACUUGGCUUUUAUGGUGCUUCUUGUACUGCUGUUAGUAAAUUUUUACACCCUCAUCUUCAUGGUAUCGGCAGACUGAAAAUCUCAUUCCCCAUCUUUUGGGGUUGAUUUUCUGAGAAAACUUAUUCCUGCAUUGCAGUUACCUACUUUGCAGUAUUCUUCUGUGUCUGUGAUUUUAAAAACUGCAGGUUUUAGAUCCUGGAUCCAGGUUUCCUGCACUGCCAUCAACUCUCUUAAGGUAGAUGACUUCACACCUACCUCAAAAUUCUAGCUGAAGUAUAAUGAUAAACAGUGAAGCUGUUAAUCUGUUUAAAGACUAGUAAGAGGAACUUACAGUGCUUAUUCUUGGGGGUUUGGAUCUUUAUUAAUCUCUAGGAGUUCAACUUUGACCUUUGUUUUGCCUUCUGGAUUUAAAAACAAACCCUCUUCUCUUAUAAAGUUUGUUUUUUUUUUUUUUUUUUUUUUUUUUUUUUUUUUGUGAGCUGUUAAGCAUCUGUAACAUCCAGGUCCAUCAGUUCAUGUAGGAAAUACCUGGUAUUUGUUAGUACCAUGCAAAUACAACAAGGUGCUCUUUUUAUCUCUUAACACCCCUUGUAUAAAUGACCUUGGAAGGACGUGCUUGCUUUAUAAAGCAGCAUGCUAAGUACAUGCAGUGGAAAGUUGGAGCGUGUGGUGGCAGGAGUGUGAUUUGUGAUGGCUGCGCUGCUGAGCAGGGAAACCUGCCCUGAGCAGGAGCCCCUCCAGGAGCCUCUGUCUUUAUCAUUCACUGCCUUUUCCACUGCUUUGUAAAACAGCAAUAUUAGGAAUCAUGUAAAAUUCAGUUUGACAACAGUGAAGGCAGCAUCUGCCAACUCUAUGUCAUGGAGGCAACAAAAAUAAUUUUUCAAAUUCUCUGCCUGUCUGUCUCCUGCUGUAGACGUUGUAGCCCCCAGUUCCUGCUUUGUGAAGGGGAGUGCAGUGUCCUGCCAUGUUGGUGGUGCAUGGCACCACUGAGACUUUUUUUAUGAGCAGUUUUUUCCUCACUGGUCACUGAAAGCAGCCAGUGAAGAAUCUUUCUUCCUUCCUCCAAGCAGGGCCAGGUUUGUGUAGCCAGCCUGGCAGUGAUUGCUUCUGCAGUUACCUACAGAUAUUGCAGUCAAACACUCUCCUGCUGAUACCUCCUGGUAACAACAGCCACUGAGGCACAGCAGAGGUGUUGUGUGGGGUGGUGAGUGAACAUCCUUUGGCUGCACCAGGGUUGCUCCCAAAUGGCAUCAAGCACUAUCAGGAUCCUUUGUAGCUCAGCGCCACAAAGGAUCCUGAUAGUGCUUGAUGCCAUUUCACUUUGAGUUUGCUCCACUGGCUUCAACAGGAGUGUGAGGUCCUGGUCACUCCACACCACCCUGCCCUGUGGCUCUGUGACCCAAACUCAUUCAUGGUCCAGCUUGCCUGAACACAGGUGUGGGAUUUUGUUCCCUGUCAUUUGUGCAAUAAAGCUCUGUUUUAAAGGUUCUAUUGUGUAAAUAUCCCAAAGACAGCCCAGCACAAAACCAGCACCCUUUCUGCUCUUCCAGUCUGCAAGCUCACAGAGGCAGUUUCUUCUAAGGUUGUCCUUUUUGACAUGCAUCAGUUGCAAUGCAGUGAUGUGUGCUGUCAAAUGGUCUAACUUGGAUAUUUCUCCCUUUAUGUAACAGAAAUUACCUGUCAAUGUUUUCUUACUGGCAUGUGUUUCCUUUGACAGCCUUGUCACAUGUUUGGUUGACAAGAAGGCAAGAAAUCAAUUUUGUUUCUUUUUUUCUUUAUUUAGAAAUAAAUGCAUUAUUCCUAGAGCCCAGACUCAAAUGUAAUACAUUUGACAUUUCCACAUAGAGGCAUAUUACUCCUCACACACUGCACUUCACAAAGCAAGAGGUGUCUGAGAAGAAGGAAACCAAAUGAAAGUGUGGACUCUGGCUCUUACCAGUUCCUGAUGAGCUGUAGUUUCUCACCAACAGCUGUAAAAUGGACUGAAGACCAAAUCAGUUAGUGAAAGGAUAAUAUAUAAGGAGGGAAGUGUUUAUGGCAAAUAAAUGGGUCUGGGUGAAUCCCAUAUGUGUGGUAGGGGGCUUCUGCUCCAUGAGAUCAACUCCUGCUGCUUUUUAAUGUUUUUCUUUGCCCUUCUCAGGCUUGUCUCAGCCAAGGCUAUUUUCAGCCAUGUUCACCCUUCCCUGCUUCUUUCUAGUCCCCAAGCUCUGCAGGAGAGGUCUCCCUUCACAACAGACAGCAUGGGAAGGAGCAAACAUUUCUUUGUUCUGAAUCUGUCCCUUCUGUGUCUUUGUGGUAACUUCUUAGAGGCCAGAAAAUUUGCCUACACUCUGUAGAAGCAGCUUCCCUUGUCUCAGCUGCCUUAUCUCCCAGGCUUGCUCUGGAGGAGCAGAAUGCUGUGGGCAGGUGGAUGAGAUGAUUCCCUAGCACAGAUACGGCUUGUCCAGGUCAGUCCAGCAGGCUCAGCUGAGGUCUCUUGGAAUUUAUAAAGAGGUAAUGCCUACAAGCCUCAAAUGAAGUCCAGGGCUGGGAAUGCUGCCUGACUUGGCAGAAUUGAAACCUUUGAAUAAGAGAAUGUUCCCUAUGCUGUGCUCAGCCGCUGUAGGAGAGGGGGAAACAGCCUCUCUCCACAUUCCUCCUCUUCUGUGGUUGUGGACAGCUUGUGCUUCCACAGUUGUUCAAAACACAACUUGUCUUUGGGGUGUAUUUGCGCAGCACAGACAAAAAGCAGACCUAUACUCAAAUUAGGGAACUGAUUUCCUUGUUAAUGGGGAAAAUUUGUUGCACAGGAGCCACACAUUUGUUGGGCAUAUGCUUCCCUGUAUAAUCAGUUUAGCUGCAAGCUGGGCAGUGGUGGUAUCCUUGAUUUAUAGCAGACGCCAGGUCAUUUUUGUUGCUUUCAAGGUUUCCUGACAUUGUUUUGCAACUUCUGCAAAGCUUCAGAGAGCAGAAACAUUACACAGAAUUACACAGAGUGCUCUGAGCUGAAAGGCACCCAACAAGGAUCAUCGAGUCUAACCCUUAAGUGAAUGGCCCAAAGAGGGAUUGAAGCCACUUGCAGAGUCCUGUUGUGUUUGGAUACCCCUGAUACAACAACAGUUUUAUGGAACUGUCACAGGCUCUGUGAGAUGACACCACAGUUGAGAGCACUGACACAGAGCUGACUUGCUUUUGUUGUGGUGAAAUGCUGCUCCUUGUCACACGGGAUGAUGUUAAAUAAGUUCUGGAGGGGAAAAAAGGUUACUUUUCCUUUUCCUUUAGCUGCCUUUUCUCUCUUACUCUGGCCAGGGUAGCUGUCACCUCUGAUAAAGCAAACUACACCAGCCUCCACAGGGAUUUGAUUAAUCGUGUUGCAACAAUACACUGGUGGUGCUUCUCCCAUUUCAGGCUUUGUGGUAUGGAAACUACUUCUGAAAUACUUAGAGAUAGCCUGCCUGCACCUGGACUCAGAGUUCCUGGGAAGAGCUAUUUUAUUUACAACAUCCCUGCUUCCACAAUGCAGUACUGAAUGCCAGAGACAGCAGUGCCAGACCUGGUUAAUUCUAAACACCCCAAACUUCAUCUAUUUCCUAAGCCUUUGUUCUGAUGGGGAGGGAGCAUUAACAACAAGGCACUGCAAGCUGACAGAUCCUGUUCAUAUGAAAAUAAAGCGAUGGUACCCAGCCACCUCUUCUGCUGUUCCCACCCACAGUAACACAUCACUGGGCACCUGCAAACACAAGCUCUCCUGGGUCUGUCUGCAAAGCGAGAGGGGGAAAACAGAAAACACCAAAGGAGACAAAGCUGAGGAAGUUGUAGAACUUGAUACUCAGGAAUAAGAGGAGUCUUACCCUUCCAUUUCUUUGCUGAUUUUUAAUUUAGUACAAUACACAUAACAGGCAGAAUCUGAUACAAACUUCAAGAAGUUCAACCAAGACAACUGCAAACACUAAGUCCUGGACUACUACAAAAAAGUACAGGGUGAGGAGCAACCUUUACAAAAAAAAACCCUGUGUGUCCUGGAGAGAAAGCUGAAUAAGAAUCAGCAGUGUAUGUAUGAUGAAGAUGAACGACAUAUCGGCUGUGUGAGCAAAUGGGCAGCAAGAAGGGUAAAAAGAAUAAUGAUUCCCCUCUACUCAGCACUUGUGAGGCUGCAUCUCCAGUACCAUGUCCUGUCUUGGGAUCCCCAAAAGGAGAUGGACAUUGACAUAAUGGAGUAGGUCCGGCAAAGGGUCACGAAGCAGGAGUGCAACACACACAAAAAAGUAAAGUUUACUUGACAGCAAGGUGAUUCACCUAAGGGAAGAUCUUACUGCUGCCUUAAAUUACUUACUGGGAGGGUACAAACAUUAUGACAAAAGCUUUUCGUGAAGAUAGGACAGUGCCAAGACAAGAGUCAUGACUUGCAUUAAAGGGUAUUUUGACUAGACACAAACAAAAAAAUCCAACAGAAUGAGAGUUUACCCAGACAGUUUUACUAGGCUGAAACAUCUUCAUUCUUGGAGAUAAAUAAAAUUUCACUGGGAAAGGCCCUAAUAAAUUUAGCCUAUUUGAAUAGAAGGUUGAACUAAAUGGCAUUCAGAGGAUACUUGUGCCUUAAUUAUUGUGUGACUCUGUAAAACAGACAUCUGACAUCACUCAAAUUAACUCUACCUGAAUGUUUUAUGUUAUUUUUCAAAAAAGGCUUUGCCUUGCAGAUAUUUAAGGAGCGCUCCUCUGACAUUCCUCUAGUAGGAAGCAUGAACACUACUUUUCAGCAAAUGCAACGUGAAUAAAUUUGACACUUCAAACUCUUGGGAAAACAGCGGAAGUACUACCCAAAGCCUUAUUCUGAAGUUACAUGAUGGCUGCACUGGAACAUAAACCAAUUGACUGCCUCCUUACCCCAGCCUUGUUAGCUGCUCUCAGUCUGAAGCUGUACAUCCUCCCUGGAAGAAGGCUGCCCACUGUGCAUUCAACAUCAGAACCCUGGUAAACCUCUCUGUGUUCAUCGCUUUCUGCCUGAAACAUUUCCAGACCAUAACAGGUAAUGGGUGAACCACCAUCUACCUGAGGUGGUCCUAGAAAUAAGAAAGAAAGAAAAGCUUAUUUAAUUUUAACACAUUGGAAGACAUUUCAAUCCCUUACAAUCUCUAACACUUGUAAAAAAAUUACCCCAACGCAGCUGAAUUUCUCUUGCUCUUGGUCUACCCUGUAGCCUUGGAGGCUGGCAUGGACCAGGAACCACUGCUGGUGUCUGCACCAGUAAGGAAUCAGUUACCUAAAAAUGAAAGAUAGAUUAAUGAAGUUAUCCAGGCCAAACCAGGAACUAUCAGCUAUGCCAGAAGUAAAGGCAAAUACCUGAGUCAGAAACAAGACAAUACCUUUUUAAUUACAUCUUCAAAUAUGUGAGGAUACUGAAGUGAUCUGGUAUAUAUUUCUCAUAAUAUAAACAUUGCCAAAAUAAUCACACAAUACGCAAAAUUUGCUUUUGUAUUUUGGUACACGUGCAAGGAGUAGAAUUAAAAACAGUGGUUAAUUAUCAGUACAAACCUAGUACAGAUGCUUGAAAUAUGUCUUAUUCAAUGUAAACUCAUCCUCUUUUGUAUCAGACUGCAGUUUAAAGAGUUCUAAACCCUAAGGGCUGUAUACUUUCCAUGGAAGAAGCUCUCAGAAAGCAUAAGUGGGCAGAAGUGUCAAUCAGAAGAAAUUAAAAAAAAGAAAUUUCAACUUUUUCAUUGCUUAGCAAUACCUAAUGAGCAACAAGUUUCCACCUUUGAUUUGAAGUUUGGGCAAAAAUUACGUAAGAACAUAACAUGCAGCAGAUGGCAUUGACUGUUCUGGAUGCAGACAGAAGUGAGCAGAGACAAUGAGGGAUUUUUAGCUUCAGCUUGAUACAGAACAAAUAGGAAGUUGGAAAGACUUCAGGUUUACAGAUGAAUCUCAGAGUCUCAUUUCACAGCUGGUUUCUACGUAUGUUCAAGAAAGAGUGGACUGGUUUUCAGCUCCUUUGAAUACAUUGUUGCACUGAACAACUGCUGCUACUUAAAAGGCAGAAAGUUUCACAUAUGUUAAUGAGAAGCUGCAGAAGCAUUAAUUACAUCUUUCUUCACAGUUCUUCUGUUGAUUUCUGACACCUUCAGAGAGUGUAAGGACUCCCUGGAAGUUAUUUGCUAUUGGUACUCAAGGUUAAUUCUAAAUUCAAGGGGUUGGGCUGUAGGGAAGUAGGUUAGCAGAGUGAAAGUCUCCAAAGGCUUGUGGUCUGGUGACUGGGAAAGCACUGCAGCCAAGCCAGCAUUGAAGAAGUCCAGAUUUAUUCUUAAGGCAAGGUGGAUGUAGUAAAAGUUAUCUUUGCAGGAGACUUCUAUGUGGAGGAAGAGCACAUAUGUUUCAUGUCAUAAGGCAGGGCAAGGUAGAAACUGCAAACACCAAGAAUGGAAGGCUUUAAAGCUUUUGUGAGAGCAGCUUGACAGUAAAGUCCUGCUGGAAGUCUGCAGAGAGCCAGGGCUGGCUUUGUUAUACUUGUUGCUGAGAAGGGAGAGCAAAUGCAGCAAGACAUUUUGGCACUGGCAGCUGAUCUACACCACAGAAUUGACAGUGGAGGUGUGUGUGUGAAGAAGCACAGUAUGGAACAGCAAAUUGUUUGGGAAUACUGAAAAGUAGAGCAAUGUAAACACUUAAAUUGUGCUUGAGAAAGCACGGGAAGCAUAACCCUGUAAAGCCUGAGUGAAGGCUUCCCCUGCCUGCUGGGGUAACAUGGCUACUCAGACAAGGUACUCCACUGACUACAGAAAAUACAUAAAAUUCAGAGAAUCACAGAAUCUUCUGAGUUGGAAGGGAUCUACAAGGAUCAUCGAAGUCCAGCUCCUGGCCCCAAGACAGCCCCAAGAAUCACACUAUGUGAGAAACCAUUGUCCAAAUGCUUUGUGAACACUGUUAUGCUUGGUGCUGUGACCAAUUCCACGGGGAGCCUUUUCAAGUACCCUUCUUAAACUACUGUAUUGGUUUACGUCUUAAUAAAUGACAUUGUAUAAAUGUAUCACAUAGGAAAAGUAUCUGUUUCUGUAAAUAAGACUGUCAUGUCAAACAAAAUAUAUCAGGGAAUAAUAUUCAGAUAUUUUUCUUUAACAAAUGAGCAGAAACUUGAACCACUGUGCAGCAAUACUGGAACUUCUCCGAGGUUCCAAUUAUGGCUAUUUUGUUAGGCACGUCUGCACAAUAUUUGCUUAAAUAUGUACUGGACCAGAUUUUCUUACAGAGAGAUUUUAUUUAAUAAAAAUAUUAGCUGA